RNAcentral lists this ribosomal RNA (253 nucleotides) under uncultured prokaryote. RNAcentral's name for it is "partial 16S ribosomal RNA". It matches the Rfam family "Bacterial small subunit ribosomal RNA", at positions 524 to 776 of the family's 1533-position model. The record is from RNAcentral.
UACGGGGGGGGCAAGCGUUGUUCGGAAUUACUGGGCGUAAAGGGCUCGUAGGUGGCCAACUAAGUCAUACGUGAAAUCCCUCGGCUUAACCGGGGAACUGCGUCUGAUACUGGAUGGCUUGAGGUUGGGAGAGGGAUGCGGAAUUCCAGGUGUAGCGGUGAAAUGCGUAGAUAUCUGGAGGAACACCGGUGGCGAAGGCGGCAUCCUGGACUGGCAUUGACGCUGAGGCGCGAAAGCCAGGGGAGCAAACAGG